Gallus gallus (chicken) is the source of this 1490-nucleotide long non-coding RNA. RefSeq lists it as uncharacterized. The transcript has 2 exons. The record is from RefSeq and is a predicted model, not a curated record. Lineage: Eukaryota; Metazoa; Chordata; Aves; Galliformes; Phasianidae.
AACUGAUGACCGUCCAGCACACCGUCCAACACGUCUCCAAUGCAUCCCGCUUUUCCAUCGUUUGUUUCAAUAACGUUUUGCUAAGGACAGCAUCUUGGGAUGGUAAGAAACAAACCGUCAGUGUAACAGACAGCAAUAAAUUGCCUGCUCAGCGGAAAUUUCCCUCUCCUGCUGUCUGUAUGCAGGUUGGCCUCUUCUGCUAGCUGUGCUGCUGAGUGCUGGGCUACGUUCUUCUUUGUUUUCACUUUGAAGUGGAAUAGAAACCGAAAGACUUCAUUUUGCAGGCAAAAACUUUGCGGAGUGCUAUGUGAUAUUUGCUGGGGGGUGAUGAAGGAAGAUGCCUGGAUUUGGAGAGUCUGACAGCUGGAGCUUCCAUCCCGGCUGAGGGCUCCAACAAAGACCCGGCGUGUGCUGCCAGGAGAUUCGGAGAGGGUUUGAAAGGAGUCCUGCCUGCUGACCUGGUUAACAAGGAGCGCUUUUCCCUGCGCCAGAGUGCCAGCUCUCUGCAAGGUGGUACUGCACUACGAAUAACCUGGUAGCUCCCAGCAGGGAUGUGAGAGGCAUCGGACCUCACAGAGGGCAGGGCUGAAGCCCCACUCCCUUAAAAUUGUUUUCUUCUCUCUUCCAAAAUACUUUCUGCAUGCUCCAACCAACUCUGCGUUUGAAAGAGAAACUGAACGUAGGUGCUGUGCUGCCCCAGCACAGGAUGUGUGCAAUGCUUCUGGAGCUGCACCAACACCACAGUAAGAAGGGAGCAGGUAAUGGGCAGCCAGAAAGGCUGGGGCACAGAUCACUGUGUGCUACCCAGUGCAGUAAUGUUAAGUGUCUUCCAGCAUUAAACAGAGCCACUUUAACUCCAGUGCUUGAGCUACCAAUGUAUGUGAACUAAGUGCUUAAUUACCAACACUGUUCCCCAGGCAUAGGAAUACUUUCGGUCCAGGUUAAGACAUAGCACAAUGCAACACCCAUGAAAUCACUGUCAAUUCAGCUUUUUUUUUAUUAAAGAUUAAAAAUUAAAAAAAAAAAACAACACUUGAUCUGAUACCCUCCUAAUAUACAUAAAGUCACCAUGAACUCAAGUGUGCUAAAAGCAAAACGUGAAUCGAGAUGCUCACUUCUGCAGGCACCCCACCAUCAGUCCCGGCUGUGUGUGCAGUGCUCCAGCAGCUCCUGCUGCUCCUCCUUCCCUGAAGGCAAGGGCUGGGCUGCUGCCAGGCACAGCUGCUCCGUCAGCCCCGAGCAGGGCUCCUGCUGUCACCAGAACACAACCGCUGUGCGCAGACUGAGCUUCUCCUGGAGUCACCCAGCAGGAUCUAAACCGCACGAGGGCUUCUUCUUAAGAGAGCAAGGUAGUGAGUGUUAUCUGGGCCGCUUACAGGGGCCGAGAGGAUGAGGCAGGGUUAAGAGACCACAGCUGCGCAUCCAAAGAGCUUUGCUACUAAAAAACCUCCCUCCUCCCCAUCCCGUCCCCCCACUCUCAUACAAACAAC